RNAcentral lists this ribosomal RNA (500 nucleotides) under uncultured bacterium. Its description in RNAcentral is "partial 16S ribosomal RNA". It matches the Rfam family "Bacterial small subunit ribosomal RNA", at positions 28 to 507 of the family's 1533-position model. The record is from RNAcentral.
GACGAAUGCUGGCGGCGUGCCUAAUACAUGCAAGUCGAGCGGACUGAUCAAGAGCUUGCUCUUAUGACGUUAGCGGCGGACGGGUGAGUAACACGUGGGCAACCUGCCCUGUAGAUCGGGAUAACACCGAGAAAUCGGUGCUAAUCCCGUGUAAUAUCCGCGAUCACAUGAUCUUAGGUUAAAAGAUGGCUCCGGCUAUCACUACAGGAUGGGCCCGCGGCGCAUUAGCUAGUGGGUAAGGUAAUGGCUUACCAAGGCGACGAUGCGUAGCCGACCUGGGAGGGUGAGCAGCCACACUGGAACUGAGAGACGGCCCAGACUCCGACGGGAGGCAGCAGUAGGGAAUCUUCCGCAAUGGACGAACGUCUGACGCAGCAAGGCCGCGUGCGUGAUGAAGGGUUUCGGCUCGUAAAGCUCUGUUGUUAGGGCAGAAACAGUACCGAACGAACUAGGUCGGUACCUUGACGGUACCUAACCAGAAAGCCACGGCUAACUACGUG